This 253-nucleotide ribosomal RNA is filed under the name uncultured bacterium. Its description in RNAcentral is "partial 16S ribosomal RNA". It matches the Rfam family "Bacterial small subunit ribosomal RNA", at positions 524 to 776 of the family's 1533-position model. The record is from RNAcentral.
UACGUAGGGGGCAAGCGUUGUCCGGAAUCAUUGGGCGUAAAGCGCGUGUAGGCGGCCCGAUAAGUCCGCUGUGAAAGUCCGGGGCUCAACCCCGGGAGGCGGGUGGAUACUGUCGAGCUCGAGUCCGGAAGAGGCGAGUGGAAUUCCUGGUGUAGCGGUGAAAUGCGUAGAUAUCAGGAGGAACACCGAUGGCGAAGGCAGGUCUCUGGGCUGACACUGACGCUCAUGCACGAAAGCGUGGGGAGCAAACAGG